This 3001-nucleotide ribosomal RNA is filed under the name Salmonella enterica subsp. enterica serovar Typhimurium. RNAcentral describes it as "23S ribosomal RNA". It matches the Rfam family "Bacterial large subunit ribosomal RNA". The record is from RNAcentral. Lineage: Bacteria; Pseudomonadati; Pseudomonadota; Gammaproteobacteria; Enterobacterales; Enterobacteriaceae.
GGGUUGUGAGGUUAAGCGACUAAGCGUACACGGUGGAUGCCCUGGCAGUCAGAGGCGAUGAAGGGCGUGCUAAUCUGCGAUAAGCGCCGGUAAGGUGAUAUGAACCGUUAUAACCGGCGAUACCCGAAUGGGGAAACCCAGUGUGAUUCGUCACACUAUCAUUAACUGAAUCCAUAGGUUAAUGAGGCGAACCGGGGGAACUGAAACAUCUAAGUACCCCGAGGAAAAGAAAUCAACCGAGAUUCCCCCAGUAGCGGCGAGCGAACGGGGAGGAGCCCAGAGCCUGAAUCAGCAUGUGUGUUAGUGGAAGCGUCUGGAAAGGCGCGCGAUACAGGGUGACAGCCCCGUACACAAAAGCGCAUGUGCUGUGAGCUCGAUGAGUAGGGCGGGACACGUGGUAUCCUGUCUGAAUAUGGGGGGACCAUCCUCCAAGGCUAAAUACUCCUGACUGACCGAUAGUGAACCAGUACCGUGAGGGAAAGGCGAAAAGAACCCCGGCGAGGGGAGUGAAAAAGAACCUGAAACCGUGUACGUACAAGCAGUGGGAGCNNGUGACUGCGUACCUUUUGUAUAAUGGGUCAGCGACUUAUAUUCUGUAGCAAGGUUAACCGUAUAGGGGAGCCGGAGGGAAACCGAGUCUUAAUUGGGCGUUAAGUUGCAGGGUAUAGACCCGAAACCCGGUGAUCUAGCCAUGGGCAGGUUGAAGGUUGGGUAACACUAACUGGAGGACCGAACCGACUAAUGUUGAAAAAUUAGCGGAUGACCUGUGGCUGGGGGUGAAAGGCCAAUCAAACCGGGAGAUAGCUGGUUCUCCCCGAAAGCUAUUUAGGUAGCGCCUCGUGAAUUCAUCUCCGGGGGUAGAGCACUGUUUCGGCUAGGGGGCCAUCCCGGCUUACCAACCCGAUGCAAACUGCGAAUACCGGAGAAUGUUAUCACGGGAGACACACGGCGGGUGCUAACGUCCGUCGUGAAGAGGGAAACAACCCAGACCGCCAGCUAAGGUCCCAAAGUCAUGGUUAAGUGGGAAACGAUGUGGGAAGGCCCAGACAGCCAGGAUGUUGGCUUAGAAGCAGCCAUCAUUUAAAGAAAGCGUAAUAGCUCACUGGUCGAGUCGGCCUGCGCGGAAGAUGUAACGGGGCUAAACCAUGCACCGAAGCUGCGGCAGCGAACGUAUCACCCAAGACAACUUUACGGAGUUGACGAUUGACGGAGCGAAGCGACGUCAAAGCGUUCAUUAAAGUCGAGUUGGCUUAGGGAUACGUUCGUUGGGUAGGGGAGCGUUCUGUAAGCCUGUGAAGGUGUGUCGUGAGGCAUGCUGGAGGUAUCAGAAGUGCGAAUGCUGACAUAAGUAACGAUAAAGCGGGUGAAAAGCCCGCUCGCCGGAAGACCAAGGGUUCCUGUCCAACGUUAAUCGGGGCAGGGUGAGUCGACCCCUAAGGCGAGGCCGAAAGGCGUAGUCGAUGGGAAACGGGUUAAUAUUCCCGUACUUGGUGUUACUGCGAAGGGGGGACGGAGAAGGCUAUGUUGGCCGGGCGACGGUUGUCCCGGUUUAAGCGUGUAGGUGUGUGUUCCAGGUAAAUCCGGUUCACUUUAACACUGAGGCGUGACGACGAGGCACUACGGUGCUGAAGCAACAAAUGCCCUGCUUCCAGGAAAAGCCUCUAAGCAUCAGGUAACACGAAAUCGUACCCCAAACCGACACAGGUGGUCAGGUAGAGAAUACCAAGGCGCUUGAGAGAACUCGGGUGAAGGAACUAGGCAAAAUGGUGCCGUAACUUCGGGAGAAGGCACGCUGACACGUAGGUGAAGUGAUUUACUCAUGGAGCUGAAGUCAGUCGAAGAUACCAGCUGGCUGCAACUGUUUAUUAAAAACACAGCACUGUGCAAACACGAAAGUGGACGUAUACGGUGUGACGCCUGCCCGGUGCCGGAAGGUUAAUUGAUGGGGUCAGCGUAAGCGAAGCUCCUGAUCGAAGCCCCGGUAAACGGCGGCCGUAACUAUAACGGUCCUAAGGUAGCGAAAUUCCUUGUCGGGUAAGUUCCGACCUGCACGAAUGGCGUAAUGAUGGCCAGGCUGUCUCCACCCGAGACUCAGUGAAAUUGAACUCGCUGUGAAGAUGCAGUGUACCCGCGGCAAGACGGAAAGACCCCGUGAACCUUUACUAUAGCUUGACACUGAACAUUGAGCCUUGAUGUGUAGGAUAGGUGGGAGGCUUUGAAGUGUGGACGCCAGUCUGCAUGGAGCCGACCUUGAAAUACCACCCUUUAAUGUUUGAUGUUCUAACGUGGACCCGUAAUCCGGGUUGCGGACAGUGUCUGGUGGGUAGUUUGACUGGGGCGGUCUCCUCCUAAAGAGUAACGGAGGAGCACGAAGGUUGGCUAAUCCUGGUCGGACAUCAGGAGGUUAGUGCAAUGGCAUAAGCCAGCUUGACUGCGAGCGUGACGGCGCGAGCAGGUGCGAAAGCAGGUCAUAGUGAUCCGGUGGUUCUGAAUGGAAGGGCCAUCGCUCAACGGAUAAAAGGUACUCCGGGGAUAACAGGCUGAUACCGCCCAAGAGUUCAUAUCGACGGCGGUGUUUGGCACCUCGAUGUCGGCUCAUCACAUCCUGGGGCUGAAGUAGGUCCCAAGGGUAUGGCUGUUCGCCAUUUAAAGUGGUACGCGAGCUGGGUUUAGAACGUCGUGAGACAGUUCGGUCCCUAUCUGCCGUGGGCGCUGGAGAACUGAGGGGGGCUGCUCCUAGUACGAGAGGACCGGAGUGGACGCAUCACUGGUGUUCGGGUUGUCAUGCCAAUGGCACUGCCCGGUAGCUAAAUGCGGAAGAGAUAAGUGCUGAAAGCAUCUAAGCACGAAACUUGCCCCGAGAUGAGUUCUCCCUGAGACUUAGAGUCUCCUGAAGGAACGUUGAAGACGACGACGUUGAUAGGCCGGGUGUGUAAGCGCAGCGAUGCGUUGAGCUAACCGGUACUAAUGAACCGUGAGGCUUAACCUUACAACGCCGAAG